GACGGAGGAUGCAAGUGUUAUCCGGAAUCACUGGGCGUAAAGCGUCUGUAGGUGGUUUAAUAAGUCAACUGUUAAAUCUUGAGGCUCAACCUCAAAAUCGCAGUCGAAACUAUUAGGCUAGAGUAUAGUAGGGGUAAAGGGAAUUUCCAGUGGAGUGGUGAAAUGCGUAGAGAUUGGAAAGAACACCGAUGGCGAAGGCACUUUACUGGGCUAUUACUAACACUCAGAGACGAAAGCUAGGGUAGCAAAUGGG
This 253-nucleotide ribosomal RNA is filed under the name uncultured bacterium. RNAcentral's name for it is "partial 16S ribosomal RNA". It matches the Rfam family "Bacterial small subunit ribosomal RNA", at positions 524 to 776 of the family's 1533-position model. The record is from RNAcentral.